This 448-nucleotide ribosomal RNA is filed under the name uncultured bacterium. RNAcentral's name for it is "bacterial SSU rRNA". It matches the Rfam family "Bacterial small subunit ribosomal RNA", at positions 28 to 458 of the family's 1533-position model. The record is from RNAcentral.
GAUGAACGCUGGCGGCGUGCUUAACACAUGCAAGUCGAACGAAGCGCUUAAAUGGAUUUCUUCGGAUUGAAGUUUUUGCGACUGAGUGGCGGACGGGUGAGUAACGCGUGGGUAACCUGCCUCAUACAGGGGGAUAACAGUUAGAAAUGACUGCUAAUACCGCAUAAGCACACAGUGCUGCAUGGCACAGUGUGAAAAACUCCGGUGGUAUGAGAUGGACCCGCGUCUGAUUAGCUAGUUGGUGGUGUAACGGCCUACCAAGGCGACGAUCAGUAGCCGGCCUGAGAGGGUGAACGGCCACAUUGGGACUGAGACACGGCCCAAACUCCUACGGGAGGCAGCAGUGGGGAAUAUUGCACAAUGGGGGAAACCCUGAUGCAGCGACGCCGCGUGAGCGAAGAAGUAUUUCGGUAUGUAAAGCUCUAUCAGCAGGGAAGAAAAUGACGGU